GAUGAACGCUGGCGGCGUGCCUAAUACAUGCAAGUCGAGCGAACGGACGAGAAGCUUGCUUCUCUGAUGUUAGCGGCGGACGGGUGAGUAACACGUGGAUAACCUACCUAUAAGACUGGGAUAACUUCGGGAAACCGGAGCUAAUACCGGAUAAUAUUUUGAACCGCAUGGUUCAAAAGUGAAAGACGGUCUUGCUGUCACUUAUAGAUGGAUCCGCGCUGCAUUAGCUAGUUGGUAAGGUAACGGGUUACCAAGGCAACGAUGCAUAGCCGACCGGAGAGGGUGAUAGGCCACACUGGAACUGAGACACGGUCCAGACUACUACGGGAGGCAGCAGUAGGGAAUCUUCCGCAAUGGGCGAAAGCCUGACGGAGCAACGCCGCGUGAGUGAUGAAGGUCUUCGGAUCGUAAAACUCUGUUAUUAGGGAAGAACAUAUGUGUAAGUAACUGUGCACAUCUUGACGGUACCUAAUCAGAAAGCCACGGCUAACUACGUG
Molecule: ribosomal RNA, 497 nt
Filed under: uncultured bacterium
Lineage: Bacteria
Description: partial 16S ribosomal RNA
Rfam family: Bacterial small subunit ribosomal RNA
Source: RNAcentral